UACGUAGGGGGCAAGCGUUGUCCGGAAUCAUUGGGCGUAAAGAGCGUGUAGGCGGCCCGGUAAGUCCGCCGUGAAAGUCCAGGGCUCAACCCUGGAAUGCCGGUGGAAACUGCCGGGCUGGAGUCCGGAAGAGGCGAGUGGAAUUCCUGGUGUAGCGGUGAAAUGCGCAGAUAUCAGGAGGAACACCAAUGGCGAAGGCAGCACUCUGGGACGUGACUGACGCUGAGACGCGAAAGCGUGGGGAGCAAACAGG
Molecule: ribosomal RNA, 253 nt
Filed under: uncultured bacterium
Lineage: Bacteria
Description: partial 16S ribosomal RNA
Rfam family: Bacterial small subunit ribosomal RNA
Source: RNAcentral